Molecule: long non-coding RNA, 443 nt
Organism: Lolium rigidum
Lineage: Eukaryota; Viridiplantae; Streptophyta; Magnoliopsida; Poales; Poaceae
Exons: 2
Source: RefSeq, a predicted model, not a curated record
UCUCUUAUCCACAUGGAGGUGUGCUUCUUCUUUUAGCUCUCUCCCUCAGGGGCGGAGCCAAGGGGGGGCGAGCAGGGGCUAGACCCCCCCCAUCGAUCAGCCCCCCUAUGGAUUUCGCCAGGUACAACUUAGUGAUCAAAGGUUUGCAAGUGGUUGGAAACGCGUAGCUCCCACGGAUGUGUACUCACAAACUACACCACCCUUGCUUUCACCUAGCUUUAUCAUGACAUCUCACAUGCUUUGGAUUAUGGUUCAUGAUAGCUAGGUUUGCUUGUUGUGUAAAAAGUAUAAACCUUGUUUGGUUUGUGGUCAUGACUACGAAGGUUGUUUGUCUGUGGCGUAGCAGGGUGGGACUUCACCAUCUAGCUCCGUAUGUGUUGUAUGAGCUUGUUUAUGCUUCCGCUGUUUGUGGUACUCUUAUAAAUAUAUUUUGUUUAUUUCAA